RNAcentral lists this ribosomal RNA (505 nucleotides) under uncultured organism. RNAcentral describes it as "bacterial SSU rRNA". It matches the Rfam family "Bacterial small subunit ribosomal RNA", at positions 29 to 507 of the family's 1533-position model. The record is from RNAcentral.
AACAAACGCUGGCGGCGUGCCUAACACAUGCAAGUCGUACGAGAAAGUCCGCUUCGGUGGAUGAGUAAAGUGGCGCACGGGUGAGUAACGCGUGGAUAAUCUACCCUUUAGUCCGGAAUAACUUAUCGAAAGGUGAACUAAUACCGGAUGAUAUCCCGGUUUCCUCGGAGACUGGGAUCAAAGAAGGCCUCUGCUUGCAAGCUUUUGCUGAAGGAUGAGUCCGCGUACCAUUAGCUAGUUGGUAGGGUAAUGGCCUACCAAGGUUAUGAUGGUUAGCUGGUCUGAGAGGAUGAUCAGCCACACUGGAACUGAGACACGGUCCAGACUCCUACGGGAGGCAGCAGUGAGGAAUAUUGCGCAAUGGGGGCAACCCUGACGCAGCAACGCCGCGUGAGUGAGGAAGGUUUUCGGAUUGUAAAGCUCUGUCGAGCGGAAAGAAAUGCAUUAUGGCUAAUAUCCAUAGUGCUUGACGGUACCGCUAGAGGAAGCACCGGCUAACUCCGUG